UCUACGAGUAACGGGUAUAAAAAAUCUAAGAGUAACGGGUAUAAAAAUGCCAAGAAAUUUUCGGCUCUGACGUAAUAAUAUGAAAGUGAAUUAUGUGUGAGGCGGUUGAAUAAGAAGCGAGUUAUAUGAUUAUUUGUACGUGAUUUCUCUUGUACCUAAUAUUUGUUUGAUUAGGCUAAAACUAAAUUAAGAUGGAAUAGGGCGGAAGAGAGAGAUAUAGUUUAUAGAUAUAAGUUUAUACAAUACGUUUUUUUUAGCUCUAUUUACCAUUAAACCAUUAUGCAGCCAACUAACACAUUCGGGAAACUUCCCAAGUCGAAAAGAGACUUCCAGCAACUCUGACGAAAUUAAUAACGUAACCAUAAUAUGAACUCGUGAUCAAUGUUCGUGUGACUUGAUUAAAUCACAAUUUUUCCCACUUCAUGCGCCCCAUAAUAUGCGAAUAUAAACAAUCAUAUCGCCAUGGUUAUCUGAAAAAAAGUACUUUGGUACAGUUUUUGGUAUGUCACCGUUCGUUUUUGCAACUGAUAAAAUCCCAGCAGUUCUGAAGAAUAAUUGCACUGACGUCAGAUUAAGAUAAGAAAGACCAAAAGUUAAGGUGACGAAACAGAAAAUUAAAUUUUUAACCAUUUUUUAAAAGCGAUGACAGACGCUCACUUUAGGUAGAUUUGUGUUCCCUAUAUGCAAGGAGUCGAUAGUAUUUUGUGCGAUGGCACGUGCCUGAUCGGACAGAAACAAAACCAGCAACGAAAACAAACAAAAUUAAACAUUAAAUAAAUAACAAAACCAACGAUGAAGAACAAAAAAAGCAAUGCUAAACUAAUAACGCUUUUGUUUACCCGUCACAGCAGCCACAAAAUCAUUUAAAUGAUUUUUCAUAUAUUUUAGCUGAGAUCCAGGCAAAAAUUUAUAAUGUGACAAGAGGAUGACGAGUACUGGGCACUCGUCACAAAUUGGCCAAGACCGGUGGCAAUAAACUUACAUUACAAUUGUGCCUCUCAGUGCUUUAAAAAAGUGCACAAUUACUUUACAGCAGUUAACACAACUCACUAGACUCUGACGACUUUUAAAAAGCUGGACUUUAAGCUGAUCUCGUAUAAAUUUAUUUAUUCCUACUUUUUGGAAAUGGCAUGAUAUCAGAAACUUUUGUAAAUCAGAUCACUGACCAAACAAAUUUUCUCGAAUAUAAACUAGUUCAACUUUUGACCAACUCUGGUGAAAUUUAUGAUGAUUGCUAAAUAAAAUUUACGAAGCCGCGCCAAAUUGGCAAAAUCGUGGAUGGGAUAAUCAUCACCGACUGCCCGUUCCCUGCACACAACUCCAUCCAGACAAAUGUAGACAAAGUCAGCAAAUAAAUCAAACAACCUGCACACGCGCUACAGAAAAAAAUAAAAACGAAACAUCGCUGUUGGGUAAGCAGAAUACGAUACCUUGUAUGCCCAAAAGGGGGCGACGGCCUCCGAACUAGAUAUUGCAUUGUAUUGUAUUGUAUUGGAAUGGUAUUCGCGUAUGGUAUCGCCAGACUGGGACAGCGCACAGUAGUCAAGGGAAAUCAGAGUAGUAGACGAAAGGGAGCAGCGUUCUGUAUGCAGUCUAAAAAUGGAACGAAACGCUUUUUUAAACGCCCACCGCUGGCAAAACUCAUCGGCAUCAGCGCCAAAGAUGCCUUCAUCCAGUAACGAACGGAUCAUCUCGGAUUGCCCAUGGCCGGCCCAUUAAUUCGCUUGAUGUCUUGCAUAUGGCAGCAAAGUUUUGCGCGUGCGGUCAAACAAAAGCAGAGCAGCACGUGGAAGGAAAUCAGCACUCACAGAAAAAUUUUAUAAAUACAUAUACGAUAAAGAAUUCAAACAAAAUUAUUUUUAAAUUUGGACACUGACUUUCUUAAUAUCGCGGUAUGAAAUGGAUUUUGUUUGAUAACAUUAUUGGUUGGGUAUUUAAACGAAGACCUAGUAAUCCAAAUUUCCAGGUUUUGAGGUGGCAUUCCAAAAUGGGCGUGCAUUUUUCGGUGUGUGCAUCUAUAUGUCCACGACUGUUUAUGUCCGCUCAUCCGCUUAUGUUCACAUCCGACAUCAAAACAGAUGGCCAGACUUUGUAGCCCACGGUAGUGGGUGGGGGCCAAAUGAAAGUAUUGGUUGUUAGGUGGUGCAUAUACAAACGGUUAUUAUACUUGGGCGUCGGCGUUUGACGCUUUCUAUUGAUCAGCAAGCGUCAUUCGAAAUUGGAUAUGGGAACACACUGAUGGCUUCUAGGGAACACUUUGAAAGGAAGUCUGGCCGUGCGUACAACGUGACGUAUGAGUAAUGUUUAGAGAGCCUUAAAUAAAGCACCCACGAGGCGUACUAGUGAUUUCGUCUCACGAUUGGGUACUUAUGAAAAAUAUAAAUAUAGCUGAUUUUGUUUUUCACUUUUCACUUUCACAUUUUUAUAACUCGGUACUUUAUUUUUAGGUUGACACGUGUAGGAAGAAGCCUUGGAUAAUAUAAAAAAAAAAAAAAUUUGGUUUUAGAACCAUUAUUACUAAUUAUUUUUCCAUAAAAUAAAAAAAAAUGAAGCUGGCAUUUUACUACAAUGAUAAAAGGAAAAACAAAAUACUUGUAAAACAAAAGAAGAUCAUCGUUUAGAUAGGUAAAAACAAUUAAAAGGUUUCCUAAGCAGCAAAAGGGGCCACAAUUGACAACCCCGAAAUCAAAAUACAUUUUUAACUGUAAUAGCAAAAAAUGCUGAUAUCUUCUGUUGCAUUCGAAUGUUUGACUAAGCGCAAACCAAAAUGCAAUAAUACACCGCACACACGCUGAAUACAGAGCGCAAUACUACACAGUCAUUGAAAACUCAUGAGCAAAAGGCCAGUGAGCGGGCAGAAAAUAUUUAUGAAAAUAUAACAAGCGCCAGGCAGCCCAACUCGACUAAAUUCUCUGAAGUGGAUUUUCCCAUUUCGCGAUUGCGUCGAAAGCCUUCAAAAGUCGUUCACGUGCGAUCAAGUGAUCGUUCCAUGUGCCAGUCACCGGAUGACAAAACACAGACCACCUCCUCCGCACCACGACAAAUCGCCGAUAUCGGUGGAACCGGCGGUGCCACUCACUGAAAUCGAGAAAGCCCAAUGAGUUCAAUAAAUAAUACGGCCAGACUUUGAUCUAAUUUUUCUCUUCCCAGAAGUGAUAAAAAAUUUGCAAUCACCAGUUUUCUAGCUAAAAGCUUUGAAACAAAGCCAUGGCAUACAAAAAAAUAAAAUAUAUUAUUUAUUAUGAUUUUAUAAAAUAUUUAGUCUCUUACAAAAUUUCAAAAUAAACAAUAUACCAAUAAAUCGGGGCACAAACUGGAAAACGUAA
This is a long non-coding RNA of Drosophila yakuba, 3326 nucleotides long. RefSeq lists it as uncharacterized. The record is from RefSeq and is a predicted model, not a curated record. The transcript has 2 exons. NCBI's taxonomy places the organism in Eukaryota, Metazoa, Arthropoda, Insecta, Diptera, Drosophilidae.